This 378-nucleotide ribosomal RNA is filed under the name uncultured organism. RNAcentral describes it as "partial 16S ribosomal RNA". It matches the Rfam family "Bacterial small subunit ribosomal RNA", at positions 527 to 896 of the family's 1533-position model. The record is from RNAcentral.
GUAGGUGGCAAGCGUUGUCCGGAAUUAUUGGGCGUAAAGCGCGCGCAGGUGGUUCUUUAAGUCUGAUGUGAAAGCCCCCGGCUCAACCGGGGAGGGUCAUUGGAAACUGGGGAACUUGAGUGCAGGAGAGGAAAGUGGAAUUCCACGUGUAGCGGUGAAAUGCGUAGAUAUGUGGAGGAACACCAGUGGCGAAGGCGACUUUCUGGCCUGUAACUGACACUGAGGCGCGAAAGCGUGGGGAGCAAACAGGAUUAGAUACCCUGGUAGUCCACGCCGUAAACGAUGAGUGCUAAGUGUUGGGGGGUUUCCCGCCCCCCUCAGGUGCCUGCAGCUAACGCAUUAAGCACUCCGCCUGGGGGAGUACCGGUCGCAAGACUG